This 218-nucleotide ribosomal RNA is filed under the name uncultured fungus. RNAcentral's name for it is "partial 18S ribosomal RNA". Lineage: Eukaryota; Fungi. The record is from RNAcentral.
CUUUAAAGCCCACCGGUACCAACUGCUCCUCUGGAGCGGGGCCAGCUAUGCUGGAGGUCACAACCCGGUAGGAUACUACAAUAAGCAAUCCGCAGCGGCUCAGCCGUCCACAGACUAAGUGGUUGUGGGUAGGGAUCCCCUACUUAAGAUAUAGUCGGGCCUUGUGACAAGUCAUAAGGGCUUCUGCGUCCGUAGGUGAACCUGCGGAAGGAUCAUUA